Molecule: ribosomal RNA, 468 nt
Filed under: uncultured bacterium
Lineage: Bacteria
Description: partial 16S ribosomal RNA
Rfam family: Bacterial small subunit ribosomal RNA
Source: RNAcentral
GACGAACGCUGGCGGCGUGCUUAACACAUGCAAGUCGAACGGAAAGGCCCUGCUUUUGUGGGGUGCUCGAGUGGCGAACGGGUGAGUAACACGUGAGUAACCUGCCCUUGACUUUGGGAUAACUUCAGGAAACUGGGGCUAAUACCAGAUAGGAGCUCCUGCUGCAUGGUGGGGGUUGGUAAGUUUCGGCGGUUGGGGAUGGACUCGCGGCUUAUCAGCUUGUUGGUGGGGUAGUGGCUUACCAAGGCUUUGACGGGUAGCCGGCCUGAGAGGGUGACCGGCCACAUUGGAACUGAGAUACGGCCCAGACUCCUACGGGAGGCAGCAGUGGGGAAUAUUGCACAAUGGGCGGAAGCCUGAUGCAGCAACGCCGCGUGCGGGAUGACGGCCUUCGGGUUGUAAACCGCUUUCGCCUGUGACGAAGCGUGAGUGACGGUAAUGGGUAAAGAAGCACCGGCUAACUACGUG